AUUGAACGCUGGCGGCAGGCCUAACACAUGCAAGUCGAACGAGUGGCGGACGGGUGAGUAAUGUCUGGGACACUGCCUGAUGGAGGGGGCUAACUACUGGAAACGGUAGCUAAUACCGCAUACCAUCGGAUGUGCCCAGAUGGGAUUCGCUAGUAGGUGGGGUAAAGGCUCACCUAGGCGCCGAUCCCUAGCUGGUCUGAGAGGAUGACCAGGAACACGGGAACUGAGCAACGGUCCAGACUCCUACGGGAGGCAGCAGGGGGGAAUAGGGAACAAUGGGCGAAAGCCUGAUGCAGCCAUGCCGCGUGUAUGAAGAAGGCCUGCGGAUUGUAAAGUACUUUAAUCGGGGAGGCGUUACCUGCAGAAGAAGCACCGGCUAACUCCGUGCCAGCAGCCGCGGUAAUUC
RNAcentral lists this ribosomal RNA (406 nucleotides) under uncultured bacterium. RNAcentral describes it as "partial 16S ribosomal RNA". It matches the Rfam family "Bacterial small subunit ribosomal RNA", at positions 30 to 526 of the family's 1533-position model. The record is from RNAcentral.